This 497-nucleotide ribosomal RNA is filed under the name uncultured bacterium. RNAcentral describes it as "partial 16S ribosomal RNA". It matches the Rfam family "Bacterial small subunit ribosomal RNA", at positions 28 to 507 of the family's 1533-position model. The record is from RNAcentral.
GAUGAACGCUGGCGGCGUGCCUAAUACAUGCAAGUCGAGCGAACAGACGCGGAGCUUGCUCCUCUGACGUUAGCGGCGGACGGGUGAGUAACACGUGUAUAACCUCCCUAUAAGACUGGGAUAACUUCGGGAAACCGGAGCUAAUACCGGAUAAUAUAUUGAUCCGCAUGGUUCAAUAGUGAAAGUCGGCUGUUCUGUCACUUAUAGAUGCUUCCGCGCUGCAUUAGCUAGUUGGUCAGGUAACGGCUUACCAAGGCAACGAUGCGUAGCCGACCUGAGAGGGUGGUCGGCCACACUGGAACGGGGACGCGGUCCAGACUCCUGAGGGAGGCAGCAGUCGGGAAUCGGACGCAAUGGGCGAAAGCCUGACGGAGCAACGGCGCGUGAGUGAUGAAGGUCUUCGGUUCGUAAAACUCUGUUAUUAGGGAAGAACAGAUGUGGAAGGAGCUAUGGACGUCUUGACGGUACCUGAUCAGAAAGCCACGGCUAACUACGUG